UACAGAGGUCUCAAGCGUUGUUCGGAUUCAUUGGGCGUAAAGGGUGCGUAGGCGGCGCGGUAAGUCGGGUGUGAAAUCUCGGGGCUUAACUCCGAAACUGCAUUCGAUACUGCCGUGCUUGAGGACUGGAGAGGAGGCUGGAAUUUACGGUGUAGCGGUGAAAUGCGUAGAUAUCGUAAGGAAGACCAGUGGCGAAGGCGGGUCUCUGGACAGUUCCUGACGCUGAGGCACGAAGGCCAGGGGAGCAAACGGG
This 253-nucleotide ribosomal RNA is filed under the name uncultured bacterium. RNAcentral's name for it is "partial 16S ribosomal RNA". It matches the Rfam family "Bacterial small subunit ribosomal RNA", at positions 524 to 776 of the family's 1533-position model. The record is from RNAcentral.